Alligator mississippiensis (American alligator) is the source of this 2010-nucleotide long non-coding RNA. RefSeq lists it as uncharacterized. NCBI's taxonomy places the organism in Eukaryota, Metazoa, Chordata, Crocodylia, Alligatoridae. The transcript is spliced from 4 exons. The record is from RefSeq and is a predicted model, not a curated record.
CCUAUAUAAACAAGGCAGUACAGCUACAGGAGGACAGGCAGUAACAUUGCCUGGCUGGAGGGCUGCUGAGAACAUCCUGGAGGUCUCUCAGCUGGGAGAAAUGUUGUAUCUGAAAUGCAUCAGCAUAGCAGAUUGACUAUAGAAGCAAUUCUUUGGUCUCCAGACAGAAGAGAGGAAUCAUGUCAGAGAAUCCACCUUUUCUUCACCAUUUUAAGCUUUGGGUGCUCUGCAGUGGUGGGUUGUACACCCGUGGUGGGAAUUCUUGUCCCACCACCCUGGGAAUUACCCUGACCAGGUCGUUAUCCAUGCGUGCUAAGGGGUUGUCUUGGCUGGCAUUGCCAACUUCUUUGGUCCAACCAAAUAGCUGUGUUUCAAGAGCUGUAUGGAAACUCUCUGAUGCCAUGGCAGAUGCAGAAGUCAGAAAUCAAACUUAUGUCACUGAAUUUAUCCUCCUGGGCUUUGAAAUUCUUCCAGAAUUGCGGGUGCUUCUCUUCCUGCUGUUUCUACCUUGCAACCACGGCUGGGAACAUCCUCAUCAUUACACUUAUUAUAGCAGUUCAGAAUCUGCACAUCCCCAUGUACUUCUUCCUGGGGAACUUCUCCUGCUUGGAGACCUGCUAUACCUGCACCCUCCUGCCCAAGAUGCUGGCCAGCUUCCUCGCUGGAGACGGAACCAUUUCAUUCUCUGGCUGCUUCAUGGAAUUAUUUUUCUUCGGUGUGUUGUCUCUUAUCCGUGAUGUCUUAUGAUCGGUACUUAGCCAUAUGUAAACCACUGCAUUACACAGCCCUAAUGAGUGAGAGAUUGUUUCAAUCUUGCUGCUGGCGCAUGGAAGAGUGGAUUUCUAGUUGUCUCAACUGUAUAAUCUCUUCUUGUUACAAUUAAGGUUCUGUGGCCCCAAUCAAGUUGACCAUUUCUUUUGUGACUACUUACCACUGAUUAAACUCUCCUGCAGCAACAUCUUUGAGGUUGAACUUGUAGUUUUCAUUCUGGGUUGUACAGUGCUUUUUUCCCCCAUCCCUUUUGAUUCUCAUGUCCUACAUCUACAUUAUCACCACCAUAGUGAGAAUCCCUUCCACUACUGGAAGACAAAAGGCUUUUUCCACUUGUUCUUCACAUAUUACAAUGGUGACAAUUUUCUAUGGAUCUAUAACUAUGGUCUACCUGUUCUCAAGAACCAACACUCUUAGAGCCUUGAACAAAAUAUUCUCUCUUCUCUACACUGUGCUGACUCCAUUGGCCAACCCUUUUAUUUACAGCCUGCAAAACAAGGAAGUCAAGGAGGCUGUAAAGAAAGCUGUCUGUGUUUUCAGAGCCCGGAAAAAAUACAACCAUUUCUAAACUCUAGUUGCAGGUCCAAGCAAAAUCAAAAUAACAGGAAUCAGAGGUGUGGAAAAUGAAUGGCUCCUGGCCCAGCUGUUUUGGGGAAUUUUAAAAGAAAGAGAAUCUUUAUAGUGAUACGAUACACUUCAAUUCCUGUUCUAAGGCCGGGAGUGUCCUGACACCACAGUAUUCAUUUUUAAAUUGUCCCAGAUGAGAAGAGUGAAUGGAUUUUGCAGGAUGACGCCUACGUGCCUCUAGCUAGUACACCCACAUAUUCUUCAAGCACAGGCUUCCUACACGUAGAUGUGUUCCCCAUGUGCACAAGCUGUUAUUGAGCAGUGGCUAAUGUAGUAAAAACCUAGCCUCUUCUACUAAUUGGUCUUGGGGUUAAACCCUAACCCCAAAAACCUAAUUAAUUUGCUCAGAAGAAUGUCAGAAAUGACAUGAACACAGCCAAGAAGAGCUUUACUCCAUCUCUAUCUCAUAGACAAAGAGUUCAUUUGGAAAUGUGUUUCACUUAACUCACACCUGACCCUGUGUAGAUUUAUACUGUGGUCUGGUACAAGAAUGACAGAAUUACUAGUAUAGAGGUUUUCAAAACUUCCAGCUUUCAAGGAGGAUCCCAACACCCUGUGAUUUGAAAGCAAGAACUGUUUUGCAUUAAGGAAGAAUAGGAGACCACAGGAUUA